Molecule: long non-coding RNA, 1569 nt
Organism: Gopherus flavomarginatus (Mexican gopher tortoise)
Lineage: Eukaryota; Metazoa; Chordata; Testudines; Testudinidae
Exons: 3
Source: RefSeq, a predicted model, not a curated record
GCAGGGAGACAAGGUCAGGGAGUUGAGCUCCCAGAGGGACUGUCAUGGGGCGGCCCUCUAGGUAAGAGCAGGGGAACAGACACCCAGGGGGGUCAGGCAGAAGGAAGGAGGCCCCAGGGGCACCAGAAGCUCAGCAAGGGGGCACUGCGUGGGAAUGGGGAGCUGUACAGAGGACGGGGCUCUGGCAGGGGCUGGGCAGUGCUGUCGGGGCAUGAGGGUACUGCACGGUUAGAGUAUGGGUUGGGGUGCUGUGGGGAGAUGGGGGUGUAGUGGGGGGGUGGGCAGUGCUGUCGGGGCAUGAGGGUACUGCACGGUUAGAGUAUGGGUUGGGGUGCUGUGGGGAGAUGGGGGUGUAGUGGGGGGGUGGGCAGUGCUGUCGGGGCAUGAGGGUACUGCACGGUUAGAGUAUGGGUUGGGGUGCUGUGGGGAGAUGGGGGUGUAGUGGGGGGCUGGGCAUGCUGUGGGGAGGAUGGGGCACUGCAGGGGAGAUGGGGAAUGCUGUGAGGAGACAAGAGUUAUGUGGGGUUGUCAUAGGUUUCACCUCCACCUCUGAACUUUAGGCUACAGAUGUGGGGACCUGCAUGAGAACCCCUAAGCUUAACUACCAGCUUAGAUCUAGUUGCUGCCACCACCCAAAUCGUUUCAAACAGCUGUUUCUGAGUCAUUUGGGAAACUCUGUCUCUCCCCCUCCCCCAAAUCUCUCCCUCCCAAGUACUAUAACCCUUCCCUGGAUACCCUGGAGAGACUUCUCCACCAAUUCCUGGUGAACACUGAUGCAAACCCCUUGGAUCUCAAAACAAGGGAAAAAUCAAUCAGGUUCUUACAAAGAAGACUUGUAAUUAAGGAAAAGGGGUAAUAGAAAUACCUCUGAGGGAUUAGCCUACAAGCUACUCUCACAGACAACAGAUUCCAAACACAGAGGAUGUUCCCCUGGGCAAAAGCCUUAGUACAGAAAAGAAAACCCAGUCUGAUUAUCCCGCUCACGCAAAAAGACAAAGUCUCAAAAAGAAAUAAACAUCAGCUAAUUCAUUCCUUCUCCAACACUCACUACCCUGGGCGACUGCUCGAUCUUCUCACUCCCGCACAGAGCUCAAUGAACUGAACGAAGGAAACACUUCCCCCGUCCUCUUGAAACAUCCUGUCCAGCCACUGGUUCCUCUGGCUCAGCUGUCAGCUAGGCUAGGGGAACUUAGGGGAGGAUGGGGUUCUGUGGGGGGAAUGGGGUGCAGUGGGGGUGGGGUUCUGGCAGUGGGGGAUGCUGUGGAGGCGUGUAGAGAAGUGGGGGUGCUGUGGGGAGGAUGGGGUUCUGUGGGAGGAAUGGGGUGCAGUGGGGUUGGGGUUCUGGCAGUGGGGGAUGCUGCAGAGGUGUGUAGAGAAGUGGGGGUGCUGUGGGGGGAAUGAGGUGCAGUGGGGGUGGGGUUCUGGCAGUGGGGGGUGCUGCAGAGGCAUGUAGAGAAGUGGGGGUGCUGUGGGGAGGAUGGGGUUCUGUGAGAGGAACGGGGUGCAGUGGGGGUGGAGUUCUGGCAGUGGGGGGUGCUGCAGAGGCGUGUAGAGAAGUGGGGGUGCUGU